AUUGAACGCUGGCGGAAUGCUUUACACAUGCAAGUCGAGCGGCAGCGCGGGGCAACCUGGCGGCGAGCGGCGAACGGGUGAGUAACAUAUCGGAACGUACCCAGUCGUGGGGGAUAACUAUCCGAAAGGAUAGCUAAUACCGCAUACGACCUGAGGGUGAAAGCGGGGGACCGAAAGGCCUCGCGCGAUUGGAGCGGCCGAUAUCGGAUUAGCUAGUUGGUGAGGUAAAGGCUCACCAAGGCGACGAUCCGUAGCUGGUCUGAGAGGACGACCAGCCACACUGGAACUGAGACACGGUCCAGACUCCUACGGGAGGCAGCAGUGGGGAAUUUUGGACAAUGGGGGGCAACCCUGAUCCGACGCUAC
RNAcentral lists this ribosomal RNA (366 nucleotides) under uncultured bacterium. RNAcentral's name for it is "bacterial SSU rRNA". It matches the Rfam family "Bacterial small subunit ribosomal RNA", at positions 29 to 397 of the family's 1533-position model. The record is from RNAcentral.